AGAUUGAACGCUGGCGGCAGGCCUAACACAUGCAAGUCGAGCGGCAGCACGGGUACUUGUACCUGGUGGCGAGCGGCGGACGGGUGAGUAAUGCCUAGGAAUCUGCCUGGUAGUGGGGGAUAACGCUCGGAAACGGACGCUAAUACCGCAUACGUCCUACGGGAGAAAGCAGGGGACCUUCGGGCCGUCGC
This 191-nucleotide ribosomal RNA is filed under the name uncultured soil bacterium. Its description in RNAcentral is "partial 16S ribosomal RNA". It matches the Rfam family "Bacterial small subunit ribosomal RNA", at positions 26 to 216 of the family's 1533-position model. The record is from RNAcentral.